UCGCACUUUCUGGAAACAGAGAGGUCAGUUCGGCUGGAUCGGUGACAGGUGCUGCAUGGCUGUCGUCAGCUCGUGUCGUGAGAUGUUGGGUUAAGUCCCGCAACGAGCGCAACCCUCGUCCUUAGUUGCCAGCAUUAAGUUGGGCACUCUAAGGAGACUGCCGGUGUUAAACCGGAGGAAGGCGGGGAUGACGUCAAGUCCUCAUGGCCCUUAUGUCCAGGGCUACACACGUGCUACAAUGGCCGGUACAAAGGGUAGCAAGACCGCGAGGUGGAGCCAAUCCCAAAAAGCCGGUCUCAGUUCGGAUUGGAGUCUGCAACUCGACUCCAUGAAGUUGGAAUCGCUAGUAAUCGUGGAUCAGCAUGCCACGGUGAAUACGUUCCCGGGCCUU
This 391-nucleotide ribosomal RNA is filed under the name uncultured Desulfuromonas sp. RNAcentral's name for it is "bacterial SSU rRNA". It matches the Rfam family "Bacterial small subunit ribosomal RNA", at positions 993 to 1382 of the family's 1533-position model. The record is from RNAcentral. Lineage: Bacteria; Pseudomonadati; Thermodesulfobacteriota; Desulfuromonadia; Desulfuromonadales; Desulfuromonadaceae.